This 565-nucleotide ribosomal RNA is filed under the name uncultured archaeon. RNAcentral describes it as "bacterial SSU rRNA". It matches the Rfam family "Archaeal small subunit ribosomal RNA", at positions 107 to 654 of the family's 1478-position model. The record is from RNAcentral.
ACCUGCCCUGGAGACAAGGACAACCCCGGGAAAUGGGAUUAAUCCUUGAUAGGUCAUCUCAUCUGGAAGGAGAGAUGGCUUAAAGGGGUACGCGGGCUUCUUCCGCGAAUUCGCUCCAGGAUGGGACUGCGUCCGAUCAGGCUGUUGGCGGGGUAAUGGCCCACCAAACCUGUAACCGGUACGGGCCUUGAGAGAGGUGGCCCGGAGAUGGACACUGAGAGAAGGGUCCAGGUCCUACGGGGCGCAGCAGGCGCGAAACCUUCGCAAUGCGCGAAAGCGUGACGAGGUUAANUCCGAGUGACUCCCGCUGAGGGGGUCUUUUGUCAGCUGUAAAUAGGCAGGCGAAUAAGGGGAGGGCAAGCCUGGUGUCAGCCGCCGCGGUAAUACCAGCUCCUCGAGUGGUCGGGGCGAUUAUUGGGCCUAAAGCAUCCGUAGCCGGUUCCGUAGGACCUCUGUUAAUCCAACCGCUUAACGGGUUGACCUGCANAGGAUACCGCGGGACUAGGAGGCGGGAGANGCGGACGGUACUCCGCGUGUAGGGGGUAAAAUCCUUUGAUCCGCGGAA